This 327-nucleotide ribosomal RNA is filed under the name uncultured eukaryote. Its description in RNAcentral is "partial 18S ribosomal RNA". It matches the Rfam family "Eukaryotic small subunit ribosomal RNA", at positions 1470 to 1796 of the family's 1831-position model. The record is from RNAcentral.
CCCUUAGAUGUUCUGGGCCGCACGCGCGCUACACUGACGAAUGCAACGAGCUUAUAACCUUGGCCGAAAGGUCUGGGUAAUCUCCAAAUUUCGUCGUGAUGGGGAUUGAUUAUUGCAAUUAUUAAUCUUCAACGAGGAAUGCCUAGUAAGCGCAAGUCAUCAGCUUGCGUUGAUUACGUCCCUGCCCUUUGUACACACCGCCCGUCGCUCCUACCGAUUGAAUGGUCCGGUGAAGCGUUCGGACCGUGGCCUUUGGACGGUUCGCCGUCUGUUGGCUGCGGGAAGUUCGUUAAACCUUAUCAUUUAGAGGAAGGAGAAGUCGUAACA